RNAcentral lists this ribosomal RNA (2105 nucleotides) under Triticum aestivum (bread wheat). RNAcentral describes it as "eukaryotic LSU rRNA". It matches the Rfam family "Eukaryotic large subunit ribosomal RNA", at positions 1 to 2180 of the family's 3401-position model. Lineage: Eukaryota; Viridiplantae; Streptophyta; Magnoliopsida; Poales; Poaceae. The record is from RNAcentral.
GCGACCCCAGGUCAGGCGGGACUACCCGCUGAGUUUAAGCAUAUAAAUAAGCGGAGGAGAAGAAACUUACAAGGAUUCCCCUAGUAACGGCGAGCGAACCGGGAGCAUCCCAGCUUGAGAAUCGGGCGGCUGUGCCGUUCGAAUUGUAGUCUGGAGAGGCGUCCUCAGCGACGGACCGGGCCCAAGUCCCCUGGAAAGGGGCGCCUGGGAGGGUGAGAGCCCCGUCCGGCCCGGACCCUGUCGCCCCACGAGGCGCCGUCAACGAGUCGGGUUGUUUGGGAAUGUAACCCAAAUCGGGCGGUAGACUCCGUCCAAGGCUAAAUACAGGCGAGAGACCGAUAGCGAACAAGUACCACGAGGGAAAGAUGAAAAGGACUUUGAAAAGAGAGUCAAAGAGUGCUUGAAAUUGCUGGGAGGGAAGCGGAUGGGGGCCGGGGAUGCGCCCCGGCCGUAUGCGGAACGGCUCUUGCUGGUCCGCCACUCGGCUCGGGGUGUGGACUGUUGUCGGCCGCGCCGGCGGCCAAAGCCCGGGGGCCCUAGGUGCCCCCGGUGGCCGUCGUCGGCACAGCGGGUACCCGCACGCCGAAAGGCGUGUCCCUCGGGGCACUGCGCUGCAACGGCCUGCGGGCUCCCCAUCCGACCCGUCUUGAAACACGGACCAAGGAGUCUGACAUGCGUGCGAGUCGACGGGUUCUGAAACCUGGGAUGCGCAAGGAAGCUGACGAGCGGGAGGCCCUCACGGGCCGCACCGCUGGCCGACCCUGAUCUUCUGUGAAGGGUUCGAGUUGGAGCACACCUGUCGGGACCCGAAAGAUGGUGAACUAUGCCUGAGCGGGGCGAAGCCAGAGGAAACUCUGGUGGAGGCUCGAAACGAUACUGACGUGCAAAUCGUUCGUCUGACUUGGGUAUAGGGGCGAAAGACUAAUCGAACCAUCUAGUAGCUGGUUCCCUCCGAAGUUUCCCUCAGGAUAGUUGGAACCCAUUACAAGUUCUAUCAGGUAAAGCCAAUGAUUAGAGGCAUCGGGGACGCAACAUCCUCGACCUAUUCUCAAACUUUAAAUAGGUAGGAUGGCGCGGCUGCUUCGGUGAGCCGUGCCACGGAAUCAGGUGCUCCAAGUGGGCCAUUUUUGGUAAGCAGAACUGGCGAUGCGGGAUGAACCGGAAGCCGGGUUACGGUGCCCAACUGCGCACUAACCUAGAACCCACAAAGGGUGUUGGUUGAUUAAGACAGCAGGAUGGUGGUCAUGGAAGUCGAAAUCCGCUAACGAGUGUGUAACAACUCACCUGCCGAAUCAACUAGCCCCGAAAAUGGAUGGCGCUGAAGUGCGCGACCCACACCCGGCCAUCUGGGCAAGCGCCAUGCCCCGAUGAGUAGGAGGGCGCAGCGGCCGCUGCAAAACCCGGGGCGCGAGCCCGGGCAGAGCGGCCUCGGUGCAGAUCUUGGUGGUAGUAGCAAAUAUUCAAAUGAGAACUUUGAAGGCCGAAGAGGAGAAAGGUUCCAUGUGAACGACACUUGGACAUGGGUAAGCCGAUCCUAAGGGACGGGGUAACCCCGGCAGAUAGCGCGAUCACACGCAUCCCCCGAAAGGGAAUCGGGUUAAGAUUUCCCGAGCCGGGAUGUGGUGGUUGACGGCUGUCACAGCCCUAGAGUACCUGAGUGAAAUAGUUGCAUCUGCACUCAUGCAUCAUGUCUAAAUUCUGAAAGUUGAAUUGAGGUUAGUUGAAACCCUCAUAAAUCACUUCAAAAAUAAUCAACAUUAAAAUCUUUUCAAAGAAGUCCAAGAAAAUGUUCCUCUUAGUCUCUGAAAAAUAUUGGCAAGAGGUAAAACUUAAAACAAUAUUUUUGGAAUCUCAGAGAUAUUUAUUUUGGGCCUUUGAAUUAAAUCAAUAACUAUUUGCAUUGGAUAUAUAUUUAUUAAUUAAUUAAUAUAUGUCCAACAAUUCUGAUCUCUGGUGAAGGGCUUUGGAAUAACCCAACUAGUCCCUACAAGAAUUAUCAGAAGCAACAAAAAUGAUUUAGUGUCUAAAACUAAAUCAAAACAAAUUACAGAAAAAUAGAAAACAUAAUUUAAUUAAAAGAGAGAGAGAGAAGGACUAACCUGUCA